AGCCAAAAAUGAACAAAGAAAUGAUGAAGAACAGAGCCUGUUUCUUUCUCAGUGGUGUACUCAGAAAAUGGAUGCAAGAGUAGAAGCUGAUCCUCGAGGCUUGCAAAAGUGGGGUUCUUUCUGAAAGUGAAGCCAGCAGCCAAGAGCCACCCUUCAGAAGAUAGAAGGAAGAGCAGCUGCAUGAGUGAUGGCCACAGCAAUGCAUGGGUCCUGUCUGUCCACGUAGUCCUCUCCAUCUGCCCGUAGCUUGCCAGGAAACUUUCUAUAAUAAUACCAAUACAACCAAAGACUAUUAUUCUGAACAGAAAACAAGAAAUACAGCUGGAGCUAUUUCCUAUCUACCUGAUGAAGGGCACUACCAGGCGGUCACUCUGGCUCUGUCCACCGAUGCCUGUGCCCACUUUGUGCGACGUAGCUUCCAUGGAGACAAGAGCAAUGGUAAUGGAAGAAGAAAGUCUGGAUGUACUCUUGCAGAAGCAGAAAGCUUCAUGGAACAAUAUUAAUCUUCUGGUCAUCUCUGUGCUGGUCUAGUUGCCCAUAAAGUUGUCAGAUUGACUUUGGAUUUAAAGCCUGAAAAUGAGUCCCAAGGAAAUCCGUUGACAUGAGGCCCAAGGAAGACAGUUUUUGGAAGGGGCAAGGUAGGAAGGAUGGUUUGGUCACUGUGAGGAAGAGGAGGGUAGAAAAGCAUCAGGACAUCAGAAUCUUUAGGAAGUGGCUACUGAUAAUCAAGCAGAGCUUUCUCCCUGUGGGUCUCUAUCCGUUUAGCGGCUUCUUGUGCUAAGCAACUCAGUGACUGCCCUCUGCUCCAGAUGUGACCUUCAGCCUCCGCUGCUCCUUUCUGCUGGCAAUGCUCAGUGUAAUUUCAGCCACAGAGGAAAGGAGGUGAAGUGAACAUCAGUGGGAGCCUAAAAAGUUAAACAACAGACGUGUUUUCCCAGUGUAGAGAAAAGCUUGCUUCUCCACCCCCAGGACUUUGUGCCCUGCUCACCUGGAAGGUAAGCAACAAGCUGCUGGGGCACGAGAAGCCUGUGAGUGGCUGAGAGCGAUGACGAGCUCAUCCCUUCCUUUAGGCACCUCACCUUCCGCGUCAACCAUUUUGGUGGUUUCUUAGAUUGUUUCCCUGCCUUCUAUUGUCUCUUCUCAUUCAGAGUUCAUUCUGAUGACAGCCACUAAAUUAGUCAUCCUCAGGAAGAGCCUGGGUCAUGCCUCAAACUCUGCAGAGGCUACUGAGGGCUCACUGAAUGGUGCUCAAGCCCCUCACCUGCCCCUCGAGACCUGGUAUAGUCGGGCUCUGCUUCCCUUUCCCCAUCUGUGCUGCUUACACUCCGUUGGACCCUUCAGGUGCAUUCUCUGCCCUGCUGUGGGAUUUGGGGGCUUGGCUUCUACAUGCCUCACUGGGGCUUCCUCACUCUGGCUUUUCACUGGGUUUGGCCACUGACAGAGGGAGGUGGAUGUCUGGAUACUUAUUCCUCCCCUCUCUUCCUGGCAGUCCUUGAUUCUGGCAGUAACCAAGUCUUGUUUCUCUACCCAGGCCAUGACUCACAUCAAGCAACCCCUCUUUCACAGGGUUCUGGUAACUCCACUUCUUUUGCCCCUUCAGAUCCAUAGGUGGAAAUAGCCACAUGCUGUUGCUCAUCUCUGUUGGCUUUGGCAUCCCAGGGUGGAUACUUUACUUUGCCCAUUCCUCUUAAAGAACAGAUUUAUUCAAUAAUUUCCCUUUACUUUCUUGGGUGUGUCACCUCUUUCUUGCUGGAAUCCUGUCUCCAUCCUGUCCUCUCUUGUCCAAGCAAAAGAGCCACUUGCUAUUCCUCGAACAUAGCACUUUCUCUUCUCUGUGACUUUUCAUUUCCCAGCUUUCUUCAUCUAGUCCCAAGGAAACUCAGGUUUGGAGAAUCCUACUCAGUAAUCAGGUCCAGUAAUCAGAUGCUUCAAUUCUCUCUGCAUCUCCCACUAAAUGAUUGUCUAGUCUUUGUUUAAAUAUUUGUAAGGCAGGAAUUCAUUGCCUCUUAAGGCAUCAGUAUUUAUUCAUUCAGUUCGUUCAGUGAAUAUUGUUGUUGCCUCCUACCAUGUGCCAAGUGCUAUGCAUGGUGUCUCUCCUCAAGAAGCUCAAAACAGUGAGGAGAUGAAUGUAUGAAUAAGCAAUUUUGGGACAAUGUGAUAUGGAUUACUUUGGUGUUAUUCAGAAGUGCUUUGAGAGCAUAGACAGCUGAGAUGGGAUGGAGUGGAGUCUUGCUGUAUUGCCCAGGCUCAUCUGAGAUGAAAUGGAGUCUCACUCUGUCCCCCAGGCUGGAGUGCAGGGGCACGAUCUCAGCUCACUGCAACCUCCGCCUCCCGGGUUCAAGAGAUUCUCCUGCCUCAGCCUCCCAAGUAUCUGGGAUUACAGAUGCACACCACCACACCUGGCUAUUCCUUGAUAGGUUUUUAAGCUCUAUGAGGACAGAGUCCUUGUCUUGAUUAUCAUGGAAUCCCCUUUAUUUAGCAUUUUAUGAGGCUGAAAUCAAGGUGUCAGCCUGGCUGAAUUUUUCCCUGAAGGAAAGUUUUUUUUCUGAAGGAAAAGUCCAGUUCCAAGCUCAUUUUUGUUAUUGGCAGAAUUCAAUCCUUUGCAUUUGUAGUAUUGAGGUCCCCAUUUUUUUAGUAGUUACUGCCAGCCAGAGAAGACUCUGCCUUUAAAAGGGUCAUGCAAUUAGGUCAGGACCACCUGGAUAAUCUCCCUUUCUAAAGUUAACUCUGCCAUAUAAGGUGACCUAAUCCUGGGGGGCAAAUCCAUCAAACUCCCAAUCUGGGGGAUUAGGUGGAGCAUGUACACCAGAGGAAGAAGAGGGAAAUCUUGGGGAUAAUCCUAGAAUUCUGGUAGAAAGUGACAUAAAUUGAAAAUAGUAUACAUGAUAUGUUGAAUCAAAAUAGUCACGCUUAAUCAAUGGUUUCAGAAAUCAAGACAGUAAUGAUCCUUAGGGUCAAGGAGGGAGAGAAACAAUAGCAUACAUGAAAAGUAAGUAUUCAGUCAGUGGGUACACACUCAUUGCCUUCCAGAUGCUAAAGAGAACCUAGCCAUGUCAUGCUGGACUUAUGGCCUACAAAACUAUGCACUAAUAAGUGGGAUUUUUUUUUAAUGUUACUUUAAGUUCUGGGAUACAUUUGCAGAACGUGCAGGUUUGUUACAUAGGUAUAUAUUGCCAUGGUGGUUUGCUGUACUUAUCAUCUAGGUUUUAAGCCCCACAUGCAUUAGGUAUUUGUCCUAAUGCUCUCCCUCCCCUUGACCCCCAUCCCCGACAGGCCCCGGAGUCUGAUGUUCCCCUCCCUGUGUCCACAUGUUCUCAUUGUUCAACUCCCAUAAGUUGGAUUUUUUAAAGCUGCUAAAUUUGUGGUAAUUGUUACUCAUCGAUAGAAAAGUAAUACAAGACCUCAAAUCCUGACCAGUCUGUGGGUAGUAAUCUCAUAAAACAAGUUGCCUCAUUAUAUAAACAUUUUGCAGCUACUUUAUUACAGAGGAGUCAUCAG
RNAcentral lists this long non-coding RNA (3498 nucleotides) under Homo sapiens (human). Its description in RNAcentral is "HSALNT0293306". Lineage: Eukaryota; Metazoa; Chordata; Mammalia; Primates; Hominidae. The record is from RNAcentral.